GCCGGGAACUCAAAGGAGACUGCCAGUGAUAAACUGGAGGAAGGUGGGGAUGACGUCAAGUCAUCAUGGCCCUUACGACCAGGGCUACACACGUGCUACAAUGGCAUAUACAAAGAGAAGCGACCUCGCGAGAGCAAGCGGACCUCAUAAAGUAUGUCGUAGUCCGGAUUGGAGUCUGCAACUCGACUCCAUGAAGUCGGAAUCGCUAGUAAUCGUAGAUCAGAAUGCUACGGUGAAUACGUUCCCGGGCCUUGUACACACCGCCCGUCACACCAUGGGAGUGGGUUGCAAAAGAAGUAGGUAGCUUAACCUUCGGGAGGGCGCUUACCACUUUGUGAUUCAUGACUGGGGUGAAGUCGUAACAAGGUAACCGUAGGGGAACCUGCGGUUGGAUCACCUCCUU
RNAcentral lists this ribosomal RNA (403 nucleotides) under Klebsiella pneumoniae. RNAcentral's name for it is "bacterial SSU rRNA". It matches the Rfam family "Bacterial small subunit ribosomal RNA", at positions 1130 to 1532 of the family's 1533-position model. The record is from RNAcentral. Lineage: Bacteria; Pseudomonadati; Pseudomonadota; Gammaproteobacteria; Enterobacterales; Enterobacteriaceae.